RNAcentral lists this ribosomal RNA (253 nucleotides) under uncultured bacterium. RNAcentral's name for it is "partial 16S ribosomal RNA". It matches the Rfam family "Bacterial small subunit ribosomal RNA", at positions 524 to 776 of the family's 1533-position model. The record is from RNAcentral.
UACGUAGGGUGCAAGCGUUGUCCGGAAUUAUUGGGCGUAAAGAGCUCGUAGGCGGUCUGUCGCGUCUGCUGUGAAAACUCAGGGCUUAACCCUGAGCUUGCAGUGGGUACGGGCAGACUAGAGUGCGGUAGGGGGGACUGGAAUUCCUGGUGUAGCGGUGGAAUGCGCAGAUAUCAGGAGGAACACCGGUGGCGAAGGCGGAUCUCUGGGCCAUUACUGACGCUGAGGAGCGAAAGCGUGGGGAGCGAACAGG